Molecule: non-coding RNA, 28 nt
Filed under: Bombyx mori (domestic silkworm)
Lineage: Eukaryota; Metazoa; Arthropoda; Insecta; Lepidoptera; Bombycidae
Source: RNAcentral
UGUCUGAGAUAGCCAUGGUUGGAGACCU